CCGCUGCAUUCAUAAUACAGAUGAUUCAUGAAAGAACUGCUAGAGCUCCUGCCCAGAGAAGUGCGCAGCUUCUGGGAGCCUACCUUUGUAAAAACAGGCUGUGCCUAACAGGUGUGCAGAGACAGGUUCACACUUUUCAUUCCUGGUUGUUCCCAGUGGCCCCAGUGGCAUGGAGCUGGCAGCUGUGGCUACCUCUCAGUGAUCUCUGCUACAUCUCGUCCUGGAGCUGCGGCUUCUCAGGAUCGCUGCUGAUUUUUUACCAGGUUUGCAGAAGCACUAGUGAGCAGUUAGUCCAGUUUUUAACAAAGUAGAGGCCAGAUUUCAAUGCUGCUGCCUCUGAGGAAUAGUUAGCAGAGCCCAUAGGGCAAGGAGCAGGAAACCUGCAGGGCUGGGAUGGAGGUUGUGCUUCAGCUUCACAGCGCAGGGCUUGCAGGCUUGGUUUUCCCUACUGAGCAUUUCCUUCUCAGAAGUUCUCCAAUCCCUUAGCUUUGCAAAAUGGCAGAUGUCCAGUCUCGAACUUCUAACAGUUAAAUGAAGUGCUAGGCCUAUGAGACCUGAAAGUGAGUUGCAUGACCUACCAGUGGAUUGCAUGAUUUCUGGAGACAUUUUGUGUCUCUUCUCUCUGAUUACCCCUGUUGAUUAGCCCCUUGUUCUGUGAUAACCAGGGCAACCCUGACAGAGCAUCUGCUGUGGUCUAUAAGGGCUCUCCAUUUCUCAUCCCAUUUGCCAUGUGCUGGGCUUCCAGGGUCACAGCUGGCUGCCACAGUUGUUUUGGCCAGUGUUGUUUUGCAGUGAGAAGGCACGCAGCAGUGAUACACCAUGCUCCUCUCCUUUUCAAAGCUCCUGGCUGAACCCUUGGCUGCUCCGUACAUUGCAGUGUACUGAAGUCAUGUUUCCCCCAGUGCUUGGGAUCUCCUUUUCCAUGCUAGACCAAAGCACCAGCAGAUCUAUGGCUGUGUCCAAAACCUCAUCCCCACAGGGCUGUCUGUGCCCAGCUUGUAUCCUCGUGCAGGUGAUGCCAUGGAUGUGGGAUCCCGCUGACUGCAAGUCUCUGCUUUCCAGGCAUCAGCCUCCAGCCAUGCUUCUUGGCUGCCUCCCAGAAACUGCUUUUAUUGCUGUUCUUUGUGUCACUGCUUAGUCAAUGUGCUUUACAGGCAGCAAGAGACGUGCUCUCUAUCAGGCACAGAAAAACAACCUGCCGUGGGGAUGAGCAAUGGGCACAGCUCCCCCCCACCGCUGUCCCUGGGGCAUGCUCUGGCCUCCUGUUGGCAGCUAAAUGUCAGCAACAGGUCCUUUCUCAGGGGCCAUGGGAACCCAAUCCCUCCCUUUGGGUCAGAUGUAACCACGGGAGCUAAAUUGGAAGCUGCAAUGGUUAUGUAUGGCUAUCAGCUCUCUAGGUGGCAUUUAAAGGCCGUAAGCAACUGCAUGGGUUGGCUUUCAGAAGUUUUGCAAAGUCAGGGAUAUUUGGGCUGGAAGUAGUUUUAAUCCCAGACAAAUUAGGGGAUGUGGUCCUGCCUUUUCCUUUGAAAAGGAAACAAGAUCCCGAGGGAUAGCUGGAAUAAAUACUCCAUAGAUCUUCAAGUACUGAAUCUGUGGGAAUACCUGAAUUGAACAGAAGGAACGGAAAAUGGGAAAGAAAUAAAACCAAACCCAGAAGACUAUGGUUCUUUUAGGGACCAGGAAACAAGGAUUCGUGUGCAAUUUGCAGUCCUGAAGGUUGUUGUCCACCUGGAUGUGGCUGCAUUGUCAGCACCAAUUUAUGGUACAUUUGGAUCGAUUCAGAACAAGACGGGGCUUGAGUAUAAAGUCUGUCCACAUCUGCUUUUUAAGUGAGCACAUUCUGCAUCUCAGAACUUCUGUAUUCAUGAAUUCUUCCAAGCCAACACUAUUGUAAAGGGGGCAGAAAUGAGAGAGCUGUGCUACUCUUCUCCUCACGGAGAAAUCCUGGGAGUGAAGCCUCUUGUCAAAGCAGCCGGGAUGAUGUCUUGCUUACUGGUUGGUAAAAACUGGGCCUCGUGUUUCCAUAGUGCAAGAUUUGUAGAGGGUAAAAAAUAAAAAUAAAAAAAAAAAUGAGGUGGUAUGUCUUGGUGUAUCACAGAAUUCCUUCAAGUCUGUGUUUUAUUUCACGUCUAGAUCAAAAUAUUACCUCCCGAGCCUUGUGCGUGUGGCUUGCUUGCUGGGACACCUGCCAGCCAGGAACUGAGGAUGCCUGGAAUCAUGUGCUCAGCAGGUGUAAACUGCGUGCAGGCAGAGUUCACCUCCUGUCCUUAGCCCCAGAGGCAGUUCCUCUUCAUUAGCGAGGGAAGAUAAAGAAGAUUAUCGUCGCAACCUGACUGCAUGCCAGAGUUAUGUAUCAUAAGAAGAAAAUCUGUUCAUACAUUCACAAAUAUGUUUUCUCCUGGUCUGUCUGUAGGAAAAUGUCUUCAUGAGGGGAGAGAGAGAGGCAGUAAUCGCAGGGAAGUUGAAAGGAAGCGACAGGCAGAAGCAGGACCUCUGCUGAGAUUUCUUCAAGCAGGAUGCAUGCAAUACAGAGAUGGAUGCAACUCCAGUGUAAUUGUGAGUAGUGCACAGCCAUGCUGGCAUCAUGUGGCAGGAGCACGUAUGGCCAUAUCUAACAGGGAAGAGGGAAUGAACAGUGCCCACCUACCACACUCCAGGUAACUCACACCUCCAGUUUUAAGCUUGAUUUGAGCACUUUUACCACUUCCUGUCUGAAAUUCUUUACCUUGUUCCAAUUGCACCUCGAUCACCUGCACUUGAGAUGCUCUCAGUGCCCCUGAACUACAGCACCCUCCUCAGAGGCACACUGCAGAGGCAGCAGCAGUGCCCGGAGCACAUCACCCCCACCCUGCAGCAGCAGAGCCGCUAGGAAGGCACGGUGUCAAGCCUUAGCCACAAGCAGCAAGGUAAUGGCUGGAGCUGCUGAUGGUGAGCACGGAUCUGGGAGGAGACAAAAGCGAAAGAGGUGACGGCAGAAACCCGGCGUUUGAUGUAUUGUGGGACGGAGCGGGAAAUCAGCGUCGCAACGCGUGCAUUGGUGGUUCAGUGGUAGAAUUCUCGCCUGCCACGCGGGAGGCCCGGGUUCGAUUCCCGGCCAAUGCAGCCAGUGUUUUUUGUUUUCUCUCUGUUAUUUUUGUCUUCCUUUGGAAGGCUUUAUUUAUUUACUCGUCUUUCAUUUCGACAAAAAGCAGUUCGCUUUUUAAGGCCGGAGAAGCUGCAGUGCCGCGCUGCUGUUCCGGCCUCCCCGAGGACUCGCCUCAAGCGCACAGCGGUGCUGCGGGGCAGGGCCGCGCCAACCGAGGCAACGGGAGCGUCCCGCAGCUUUGGGGAGGGAAAAAAACAUUUCGAAGCGAAAAGAAGCCGCUGGAGAUGCCGGGGAUUGAACCCGGGACCUCACACAUGCGAAGCGCGCGCUCUACCACUGAGC
Meleagris gallopavo (turkey) is the source of this 3427-nucleotide non-coding RNA. NCBI's taxonomy places the organism in Eukaryota, Metazoa, Chordata, Aves, Galliformes, Phasianidae. The record is from RefSeq and is a predicted model, not a curated record.